RNAcentral lists this ribosomal RNA (493 nucleotides) under uncultured beta proteobacterium. RNAcentral's name for it is "bacterial SSU rRNA". It matches the Rfam family "Bacterial small subunit ribosomal RNA", at positions 9 to 521 of the family's 1533-position model. The record is from RNAcentral. Lineage: Bacteria; Pseudomonadati; Pseudomonadota; Betaproteobacteria.
GAGUUUGAUCUUGGCUCAGAUUGAACGCUGGCGGAAUGCUUUACACAUGCAAGUCGAACGGCAGCACGGGGGCAACCCUGGUGGCGAGUGGCGAACGGGUGAGUAAUACAUCGGAACGUGCCCAGUCGUGGGGGAUAACGUAGCGAAAGCUACGCUAAUACCGCAUACGAACUGAGGUUGAAAGCGGGGGAUCGCAAGACCUCGCGCGAUUGGAGCGGCCGAUGGCAGAUUAGGUAGUUGGUGGGGUAAAGGCCUACCAAGCCGACGAUCUGUAGCUGGUCUGAGAGGACGACCAGCCACACUGGGACUGAGACACGGCCCAGACUCCUACGGGAGGCAGCAGUGGGGAAUUUUGGACAAUGGGCGCAAGCCUGAUCCAGCAAUGCCGCGUGGAUGAUGAAGGCCUUAGGGUUGUAAAGUCCUUUCGGCGGGGACGAUGAUGACGGUACCCGCAGAAGAAGCCCCCGGCUAACUUCGUGCCAGCAGCCGCAGU